Long non-coding RNA from Felis catus (domestic cat), 2766 nucleotides. RefSeq lists it as uncharacterized. NCBI's taxonomy places the organism in Eukaryota, Metazoa, Chordata, Mammalia, Carnivora, Felidae. The record is from RefSeq and is a predicted model, not a curated record. The transcript has 2 exons.
CCGUGAGAUCAUGACCUGAGCUGAAGUCGAUGCUUAACCGACUGAGCCACCCAGGCGCCCCUAACUAGCUUGGAUUUAAAUAAAACAAUUUUUUAAAGUUCAGUAAAUGCUAAAUAUGAACUUGAAAUUUCACCUAGAAGCAAAUGUAGAAAACAUUAUUUCUUUGGUCUCUACAAUGUAAUGCUCACGCUAGAACGAAGAGAAUAUUUGAAUUAAGCAAAAGCAUAAGGUUCCUAUAUUUAAAAAUGUAUUGUGUUAUGCUAUAUAAUCUCCUUUACUGUUUGACUUCUCACUUCAAAUGCUCUUUCAAUACAGUAUUGCACUAGACUCGGUUAGAUUACCUACUUACUUCUGUGCUUACCCAAGCUGUGUAAAACUAUAAGAUUGUGGUUAUUUCAUAGGUAGACAAAGGCCCCUUCUUAGCCUAAAUAUCAUUAUUCCUUCAGGCCUGGAUCUAAGAGAAAAUGAUUGCUAAACACCAAAUUCUGUCUAAAUUCAGCCUUAACCAAAAAAAAAAAAAAUCUGAAUAGGUUUAGAUAUUAGAACAUCUUUGUGAUGUAAGCAUAACUAUACUUCCCAAGUCUUUCGUGUUUGAAUAACAUUAAUCUAACUUGAGAAGCAAAUGGUCUCUCAUGUUAAGGCUCUGGCUAAUGUUAAGAUUCAUCACCUAAUGUUUUGACUCUUUUUGACAAAUAUAGGAAACAUUUGCCUAAUAAUGUCAUUGUACAUUCUUCUAAAAAGGCUCCCUGCCAAUAACAUUAACAUCUUUGAUUCUUUAGACAUUAAUCACAUCCAUUUUUCACGCUAGAUGUGUAAACAACUAACUCAAGACUCAAAACAGAUUAUGUGUUCGCACCUCUUUGCGUGGUGGAUACUCGGUCGGGAUUUGUUCUCGUUGUUGAUCCCUCACUCUGGCCAAGGAUGGAGCUGAACCACUUCUAUCUGUAGGCUCCUGCUCUAACAGGAAGUAAGAGAUACUGACCAUGAGAUGUCCACCUCCGUUUACACGUCUCCUUUGUAACUGGUGUCCUUCCAUCCAUGUUCUGACACACCUACCGACUGCCCUGAUUGAGUUCUUCGUCCCCAGGGCCUGGUCUAACUUCUUAAGUUUGCACUGCCCAACUGCGUAUCUGGAUUCUGGAGCCCUGUUUCGUUCUACAGAAUCUCGUGGUGUCUGACUCACUGAGUGCCCUUUGACCCAGUCAGCUCUCUCCUGACGUGUCAGUUCUCAUGCCCGUCGCCAGGGCAUAGGUCCACCCUGUGCCACCUGCUAUAAACCUCCAGGGAUGUGCCUCGACGAGCAUUUAAGAACCGAAAGGUUGGAGAGGCUGCAAAAAGCCAUGCUAAAUAUGGAACAGUGGAACGGCUAGCAAGUAACCACAACACAGCAGCACAUGUAGAUGGGACGUACAAGAAGACAUUCGGAGGAAGUGGAGUCACCCCCCCCCCCCCCCCGGCAGGCAGGGGCAGUGAUGACGUCCCUGCGUCUCUUUCAUCUUCCCAUACCCUUGAAGACACCGUGAGACUGCAAAGUGAGAUUCUGGUCGCAGGAAGGAAUAGGUGAACUUCGCUGUCGGGGGUUGGGGAGGAUCUUCGCUUUUCUUCUGAGUUUUGGUAACACUUAUUCUUAUUUGCAGACGGAGACUGAUUCUGGAGAGUUAGAGGGUCCAGAGCAGAGAAGGCAGGAGCUUCCUUCUGCCCCCUGCCCACUACCGUCCUUCAAAGGAGCCAGCUUCACGCAACGGUCUCGGGCUCAAAUCCCCACCUGCCGCCAAGUGGCACGUUCACUCUUGUCUCAUGACUUUCUUCAUGUUUUUCCUCAACCAAGAAUUCACUCCCUCCCUUCCUGUCAAGAAAACUGCGUCCCAUCUUCAAGGACUACACUUGCUAGGUCACCUCUGUCAUUCAUCUUUUGUUGGCUACUUCAAGCCCUUGCCCUUCCCUAAAAUUCUUUCCACUAACCACUUGACGCGUUGGUUUGAUUAACGUGGGAUUGCUCCACAUUUCUUUUCCCCAGCAAAAGUCCAAGGUCCUUAAUUAGAGGGGCUUGAAUGUGCUUCUCCGGCACACACGUUUUCUCUUGCCAUUCAUCACCCUCUGCUGGGCUCCUCUGGACCUUCCCACCCCACCGACUUGGCUAACUUCUAAAAGACCUUAAGGCUCACUCGACUACCCCUGCUCUGAGAAGUCCAUCACCCCCUUCUUCACUCCUAAAAAGACUUGACCGGCACCCGCUCUGUGCCAUGACUGGACCACCGUAUACCUCUGUCACAGGGAGCACUGUGCACACAACGCUCAUGCGACUUUUCUUCUCCUCCGGACCUCCUGAGAGAAAAGGUUCUGUCGUACUUAUCUUUGUAUCCCCUAUGCCUCGCACCUCUCCCACAGCACAUAAUCAACGUCUGCUUCAUUCUCUGAGGAUCUGGAGUCUGCAGUGGAAGCCAAGCAAAAGUUGCCUUUCGGGCCUCGUCUAGCCCUUUACGGACAGCCGGCUGAUCCGACUGGAGAGACUUGAGUACACAAGUAGGACGCCAGCAAGGAGAGGCCAGGCUUUUUGGUGAUACGAGGACCAGGCUGUCAGAUGCUGACCAGGAGGCCCACAACCUGAACAGAUCAUGCGGGAGAACUCACAGCUCUAUACUGUUCAUGUUUCCUUCGUAGGACAGCCACGUGGUGCCUUUAUUCAGAGAGCUUCAAAAGUUUUUGUUUUUUUUUUUUUUGUUUUUUAAUUUUUUUUUCAACGUUUAUUUAUUUUUGGGACAGAGA